RNAcentral lists this signal recognition particle RNA (275 nucleotides) under Candidatus Altarchaeales archaeon. RNAcentral describes it as "Candidatus Altiarchaeales archaeon signal recognition particle sRNA". It matches the Rfam family "Archaeal signal recognition particle RNA". Lineage: Archaea; Nanobdellati; Candidatus Altarchaeota; Candidatus Altarchaeia; Candidatus Altarchaeales. The record is from RNAcentral.
UGGUGAACUAGGCCGGAGGGCUGGGCGUCCCCUGUAACCUCAAAUCGUCCUUAUGGAGGGGCUGAAGUCUGGGAGGCGAUCUAUCGAUCAGGUAUUGGUCUGGGUUUUCAACUAUGAAUUUUCGUCUCAUCGGAUCGCUCUCUGUAGGAACCGGGUCAGACCCUGGCGGGAGCAGCCCUAACUAUAGAGAGUGGUGCUGGUGAGAUAGCGGAAAUGAGAAGAAACUCAGGUAGCCAGUAUCUGAGAGAUAUUUCCACUCUCGGACGCGUUCACCA